AACGCACAUUGCGCCCUUUGGCAUUCCGAAGGGCAUGCCCGUUCGAGCGUCAUUACACCAAUCAAGCCUGGCUUGGUAUUGGGCGUCGGGAGACCCCGUGCCCCUAAUUCAUCGGCUGGACGGUUUAAAUCUCAGCGUUGUGGUCAUUCAAUUCGCUGGCGAGGAACACUGGACGCGCCGUUAAACCUUUAUUUACAGGUUGACCUCGGAUCGGGUAGGGAUACCCGCUGAACUUAA
This 237-nucleotide unclassified non-coding RNA is filed under the name uncultured fungus. RNAcentral describes it as "partial contains 5.8S ribosomal RNA, internal transcribed spacer 2, and large subunit ribosomal RNA". The record is from RNAcentral. Lineage: Eukaryota; Fungi.